Molecule: long non-coding RNA, 280 nt
Filed under: Homo sapiens (human)
Lineage: Eukaryota; Metazoa; Chordata; Mammalia; Primates; Hominidae
Description: HSALNT0377334
Source: RNAcentral
AUUUUUGAACCACAGCUGACUGAGGCAUGCACCAGAUCUGUCAUUUCUGGAAUCUUGUGCGAAUUGUGUAUCAACUUGAGGGGCCACUCACGGACUUGUCAUCUGCUCUCACCAGGACUUCAGAGGAUCUCAAUGCUGCUGUUCUCACAGCCUGACAGGGACAAAAUAACAGGAAACUUGCAAAUUUGUCUUUAUUCUUGCUUAUGCUAUAAAAUUGAAGAGUCUCUGCAUGGUCUGUUCCAGGCAUCUCCCUGAGCCAGCCCAAGGAACUGCCUUUAGG